Molecule: ribosomal RNA, 249 nt
Filed under: Vibrio parahaemolyticus
Lineage: Bacteria; Pseudomonadati; Pseudomonadota; Gammaproteobacteria; Vibrionales; Vibrionaceae
Description: partial 23S ribosomal RNA
Rfam family: Bacterial large subunit ribosomal RNA
Source: RNAcentral
UUUACACGCGUUAGACGAACGGUCUGGAAAGUCCGACGAUACAGGGUGAUAGUCCCGUAGUUGACGACGUGUGUUCAGUGAAAUCGAGUAGGGCGGGACACGUGAUAUCCUGUCUGAAUAUGGGGGGGACCAUCCUCCAAGGCUAAAUACUACUGACUGACCGAUAGUGAACCAGUACCGUGAGGGAAAGGCGAAAAGAACCCCUGUGAGGGGAGUGAAAUAGAACCUGAAACCGUGUACGUACAAGCA